UCCUACGGGGGGCAGCAGUAGGGAAUCUUCCACAAUGGGCGAAAGCCUGAUGGAGCAACGCCGCGUGGGUGAAGAAGGUCUUCGGAUCGUAAAACCCUGUUGUUAGAGAAGAAAGUGCGUGAGAGUAACUGUUCACGUUUCGACGGUAUCUAACCAGAAAGCCACGGCUAACUACGUGCCAGCAGCCGCGGUAAUACGUAGGUGGCAAGCGUUAUCCGGAUUUAUUGGGCGUAAAGGGAGUGCAGGCGGUUCAAUAAGUCUGGUGUGAAAGCCUUUUG
This 278-nucleotide ribosomal RNA is filed under the name uncultured bacterium. RNAcentral's name for it is "partial 16S ribosomal RNA". It matches the Rfam family "Bacterial small subunit ribosomal RNA", at positions 337 to 607 of the family's 1533-position model. The record is from RNAcentral.